This 433-nucleotide ribosomal RNA is filed under the name uncultured bacterium. RNAcentral describes it as "partial 16S ribosomal RNA". It matches the Rfam family "Bacterial small subunit ribosomal RNA", at positions 29 to 507 of the family's 1533-position model. The record is from RNAcentral.
AACGAACGCUGGCGGCAGGCCUAACACAUGCAAGUCGAGCGGGGACUUCGGUCCUAGCGGCGGACGGGUGAGUAACGCGUGGGAACGUGCCCUUUGCUUCGGAAUAGCCCUGGGAAACUGGGAGUAAUACCGGAUGAGCCCUUUGGGGGAAAGAUUUAUCGGCGAAGGAUCGGCCCGCGUUGGAUUAGGUAGUUGGUGGGGUAAUGGCCUACCAAGCCGACGAUCCAUAGCUGGUUUGAGAGGAUGAUCAGCCACACUGGGACUGAGACACGGCCCAGACUCCUACGGGAGGCAGCAGUGGGGAAUCUUAGACAAUGGGGGAAACCCUGAUCUAGCCAUGCCGCGUGAGCGAUGAAGGCCUUAGGGUUGUAAAGCUCUUUCAGCUGGGAAGAUAAUGACGGUACCAGCAGAAGAAGCCCCGGCUAACUCCGUG